CGCUGGCGGCGUGCCUAACACAUGCAAGUCGAGCGGAGAAUGCGGAUAUGUUUACAUAGAAGUAUCUUAGCGGCGGACGGGUGAGUAACACGUGGGUAACCUGCCUCAAAGUGGGGGAUAGCCUUCCGAAAGGAAGAUUAAUACCGCAUAAGCCUACAGUAUCGCAUGGUACAGUAGGAAAAGGAGCAAUCCGCUUUGAGAUGGACCCGCGGCGCAUUAGCUAGUUGGUGAGGUAACGGCUCACCAAGGCGACGAUGCGUAGCCGACCUGAGAGGGUGAUCGGCCACAUUGGAACUGAGACACGGUCCAGACUCCUACGGGAGGCAGUAGUGGGGAAUAUUGCACAAUGGGCGAAAGCCUGAUGCAGCCAACGCCGCGUGAGUGAUGAAGGCCUUCGGGUCGUAAAGCUCUUUGAUCAGGGAUGAUAAUGACAGUACCUGAAAAACAAGCCACGGCUAACUACGUGCCAGCCGCAGC
RNAcentral lists this ribosomal RNA (477 nucleotides) under uncultured bacterium. RNAcentral describes it as "bacterial SSU rRNA". It matches the Rfam family "Bacterial small subunit ribosomal RNA", at positions 34 to 518 of the family's 1533-position model. The record is from RNAcentral.